AAUUACUCCUUGGUUUGGGCUUGUUUCACCACUGUCUGAUAAAGUACCGAAUAGGCUAUAUACAACUUUUUUGACAGAUUCUCCAUACUUGAUCUGUCAAAUUAAUUGUUG
Long non-coding RNA from Aricia agestis (brown argus), 111 nucleotides. RefSeq lists it as uncharacterized. The record is from RefSeq and is a predicted model, not a curated record. The transcript is spliced from 3 exons. Lineage: Eukaryota; Metazoa; Arthropoda; Insecta; Lepidoptera; Lycaenidae.